CCAUCUCUGAUGCGGUGAUGCCUCAAGCGUCUGCAAUCAGAUGUGGAACGUUGAGGAUGCAAAGAAAGAUGAUUGGGCAGAGGAACAGCAUCGUUGGUCUCCAUUAAUGGAUGCACGGAGCGGCGCCUCGAAUUUGGAAGUGCACCGGAGCGGCGGCACUGUUCUUUGGGAUUGGAGAAUUUGGGGAGGAGCCGAGGGGGCGAGGAAACUGGAGACGAGACAGAAGGAGAUCGAUGGAGCGCUGCAGCAGCGUAGCUAAACUAGCUAUCGAUUCUUUUAGCCCGUGAGUGCUAGCUACGUGGUGGGCUUGGGCCUUACUGUAUAAUAUACUACUACGUGGGUUGGGGCCCCUACCUCCCAGGGGCCCAGGGCAGUCGCCCCGUUGCCCCGGCCUAUGGGCCGGCCC
Molecule: long non-coding RNA, 406 nt
Filed under: Triticum aestivum (bread wheat)
Lineage: Eukaryota; Viridiplantae; Streptophyta; Magnoliopsida; Poales; Poaceae
Description: long non-coding RNA (TAES_LNC027805)
Source: RNAcentral